UGCACCUUCAGACUGAUCUUGAUUGCAUGAAUGUCUGGAACUUGCAGUUUAAAUCAUUCACUGAGAGUGUUCGGGGGGGAAACGUGCUCACCAUGAAAGUCAAAGGUGUUGUUCAGUCUCUUUACAGCCAUAGAGAUGAUGAGGACACAGUGGACGUCAGUCUGUCCAGAAACUCAGCACAACGUUUAAAUACUUCUUUCAUCAUGUCAGUGUGUGUGUGUGUGUGUGUGUGUGUGUGUGUGUGUGUUCCCACGUGAGAUCCUCAGCUCCAGAAGUAAUCUGAGGUGAAGCUCCGGCAACAGCAGCUGUGAUUGUGUCCCUGUGUGAAGGCCUCUUCUCAGGAACAUUUCCUCAUCAUGGCUGCUGAAAUGGAGCCCAGUACCACUGGCGGCAACUGGGACCUGAUCCUCCAGUCUAAAAUGAAGAAGCAAAGACUGCAGUGUCACGUCCUGCAGGAUGGAAAGCCCGCCGUCAGACUGAUGACUUACAAAUACGACACACCAGCCCACAUUGACAUUCACAGCAUGUAGCAAGGACACGACUAAGACUGUAUCCUUGUCUCGUCUGCUGCUCUCAGCUCCGACAGGUGAUGUCCAGCAGCAGCCGUUUGGAGCACAAGUUGGAUCGCUGCCUUUGGACCCAAAAGAGACCACACAAGGUCAGGACCAUCUGAAUUAUUUGAAUGUGAAACCCCCUGCCCUGUGGAUGAAGAUGACCUAAAUGACCCCUACACGAGCCUUCAUUUACGCGAAAGUGAUCUCUACCAAACCAUUUCCUCAAUGCGUCAUCGACAUAACACCUACAGUUUCAGCCAGCAGUGAUAUAGUGAUGGCCCAGUCAGAUGAUCAGGAAAUAAACAAAAGAGAGACGAAUGGAAGUUGCUACACCAAUGAAACCAUUUACACCAAAAGUCAAGAUAACACACCUGUAUAACUAUAAUUAUUGGGACAGUGAAAAGUUGUGUUUUUUUUUUUUUUUUUAGAUAUGAUACUGGAUGAAGAUUGCAGUUUGCACAUACAGAAGCAUUAAAGAGGCCAAAGCAUUGUGAUUUUGAUACUUAUGGAGUGGUUUAGUCAUAAUAUAUAACUGUUAUGUUCAUUUGCAUGAUUAUCCUCCACUACCCUCCUCUCAGUACUUUUAUAGACACACUAGCUUGUUCAUAGAUGUUUUUGUUGAUGAAUUUUUUUGUGAGGUUGCUAAACCAUUGCAGAAGUCACAGAAAUCAAGACAUACUUGUGUUAAAAAUGCUUUAUCAAAUCAUUUCUUACAUAUACACUACCUCUACACUACACAGAAAGAAGUAUGUGCAUCUUACUACCUUUUUAAAAACAUCUAACAGGGUUCAAUAAAUGUUCAUACUGUCUGAAAACCCUUGAAUGUUGUAUUAAAAAUAGAGUUUUUGAUUGAAUUAAUUCAUCCAAGAUACUAAAAGUGCUCAAAAAGCUCUUAAAUGUAAGAUAAGUGAGUGCAGGUAUGAUUUAUCUGUUCUCUAUUUGUAUUCAUGCACCUUUUAAAGUGACGUUUGAGAAGUUUUAUUUUUAACAAUCAGGAUUAAUGACCUGAAAGUAGAAGCAGUCAGGUUCACUUCUGUUUUAGGACGCGUCACUCAUAUUGAACCUUAAUAAGGACAAAAGAGCAUUUCAUAACUGUAUUCUAAGGUCUUCUAGCAGCAGAUGUGACAUUUGUUCAGUCUUUUGACUAGUAUGGAUGGAUGGAAACAGUGUUUUUUUCUGCUUCUACCACUGUGUGCUGACACCAAAGGUACUGUACUAAAACUUUUUAUGAUUUAUGCAGGUCAUUUUGUGACUCUAAUUGUUAAAAAAUCAUUAAAUAUGGUCCACUGAGUUUCCUUUUGAUUGCAGUGACUGUUGUGAAAACCACUGGGAGAGAACCAGUCAUCACUCCUGUAUGUAUGAACGAAAACUUGGGUGUUAUUGUAGUAUUGACAUGUAGGAUCAGCACAAGGAGACAUUGGGGCGAAGCGUGUCAACUGCUAUACACACAUGACAAGAAAUUUAACCAAGAAUGCGACUCCAGGUUCACACUGAUGACUGAGAAUCAGACUAUAUUUCUCUGCCUGACCAGUUUAACACCAGUGGAUAGUGGGAACUACAGCUGUGAGUGUUCAUAUGAAAGAGGGACACAUCCUGUCCAUCUGGAUAUAACUGUUGAAGCAGAGGAAGAGGGCGGCACUUUUUCUGGCAUGAGGGUCAUCGCUACAGCCGUCAUCACUGUAACUGUUACAGCUACGUUCAUAAUGGCAGCUGGAAUCAUCUGUGGACCUAUCCUGAGAAGAAACAAUCACAGACAGAAUACAAGUUCAGGAGCAUCUGAAUUAACCAGAACUGAAACUCCCUGUGUUUUGGAAGAGGACCCCUACACAAGCCUUCAGCAGCCAGCCAGUGAUGUCUACCAAACUAUCUCCAACCAACUACCAGAUUCAACCAGCGUCAGUGUAAUAAUCUCCCGUUUUUAUUAUCAGGAGACAGACAACGAGGAAGAUUUCCAUCCAGUUUAUUCAGUCUAUGAAACUAUAUAAAACUAAGCUGGAAAUGAUGCAGUAAAUGUCAACACAUGGACUUUAUUUCUUCAUUUAUUAGUGAAUAUAAAUGAACAUUGACAGACUUGCUAGCGUAGUUUGAACAUUUUUGUACACUAUUACUAAAAAUACAGAGAAUAUAUUGUAUAUCUAUUAAUUGAUCAUUUAAUUUCCAAAAAGUUUGUAAUGCUUGAACU
RNA transcript from Thunnus maccoyii (southern bluefin tuna), 2736 nucleotides. RefSeq lists it as uncharacterized. The transcript has 12 exons. NCBI's taxonomy places the organism in Eukaryota, Metazoa, Chordata, Actinopteri, Scombriformes, Scombridae. The record is from RefSeq and is a predicted model, not a curated record.